GUCCCUGCAGUGCGAUGGAUAGCGCAUUGAACUUGUAAUCCAAAGUCGUGGGUCCAAAUCCCACCUGGGAUG
Non-coding RNA from Trichonephila clavipes, 72 nucleotides. The record is from the annotation of a GenBank genome assembly. Lineage: Eukaryota; Metazoa; Arthropoda; Arachnida; Araneae; Nephilidae.